RNAcentral lists this ribosomal RNA (775 nucleotides) under uncultured Neocallimastigales. Its description in RNAcentral is "partial large subunit ribosomal RNA". It matches the Rfam family "Eukaryotic large subunit ribosomal RNA", at positions 22 to 636 of the family's 3401-position model. The record is from RNAcentral. Lineage: Eukaryota; Fungi; Neocallimastigomycota; Neocallimastigomycetes; Neocallimastigales.
GUACACGCUGUGACUAGCAUAUCAAUAAGCGGAGGAAAAGAAACUAACAAGGAUUCCCCUAGUAACGGCGAGUGAAGCGGGAAGAGCUCAAAUUUGAAAUCUUAAAGGGUUUCCCUUUACGAAUUGUAGUUUAAAGAAGUGUUUUCUGUUGAGGUUUUGGUAAAAGUUCUUUGGAAUAGGACAUCAUAGAGGGUGAGAAUCCCGUAUUUGACCUUUACUUUCAACUUUGUGAUACACUUUCAAAGAGUCGGAUUGUUUGGGAAUGCAGUCCAAAAUGGGUGGUAAAUUUCAUCUAAAGCUAAAUAUUGGCGAGAGACCGAUAGCGAACAAGUACCGUGAGGGAAAGAUGAAGAGAACUUUGAAAAGAGAGUUAAACAGUACGUGAAAUUGUCAAAAGGGAAGCGUUUGACACCAGUGUUGUUUUUCUGAAAAUCAAUUAAAGAACUGUUUAUGCUAAGCUUGUUUAGACUUUAUCAGCUAACUGUUUAGUUUUGAGCUUUUCUUUAAUGCACUUUUCAGUUAACAAGUCAACAUCAAUUUCUUUUGCUGUAAAAAAGCUUGAGGAAGGUGGCUUGAGAUUCGUCUUAAGUGUUUAUAGCCUCUUGCCUAUGCAGUCGGAGGGAUUGAGGUCUGCAGCGUAGAUCCUUCGGGGCUAAAUGCAUUUGUGCUAAGUUAUAGCAUUUUCAUAGACAACUUGUUGACUAUGAUUUGUCUUGUAGCUUACUCGCUUAUGUUAUUUUACCUACGCUUAGGAUGUUGACAGCAGUAUAGACUG